GGGUUGUGAGGUUAAGCGACUAAGCGUACACGGUGGAUGCCCUAGCAGUCAGAGGCGAUGAAGGACGUGCUAAUCUGCGAUAAGCGCCGGUAAGGUGAUAUGAACCGUUAUAACCGGCGAUUUCCGAAUGGGGAAACCCAGUGUGAUUCGUCACACUAUCAUUAACUGAAUCCAUAGGUUAAUGAGGCGAACCGGGGGAACUGAAACAUCUAAGUACCCCGAGGAAAAGAAAUCAACCGAGAUUCCCCCAGUAGCGGCGAGCGAACGGGGAGGAGCCCAGAGCCUGAAUCAGCAUGUGUGUUAGUGGAAGCGUCUGGAAAGGCGCGCGAUACAGGGUGACAGCCCCGUACACAAAAGCGCAUGUGCUGUGAGCUCGAUGAGUAGGGCGGGACACGUGGUAUCCUGUCUGAAUAUGGGGGGACCAUCCUCCAAGGCUAAAUACUCCUGACUGACCGAUAGUGAACCAGUACCGUGAGGGAAAGGCGAAAAGAACCCCGGCGAGGGGAGUGAAAAAGAACCUGAAACCGU
This 528-nucleotide ribosomal RNA is filed under the name Salmonella enterica subsp. enterica serovar Havana. RNAcentral's name for it is "partial 23S ribosomal RNA". It matches the Rfam family "Bacterial large subunit ribosomal RNA", at positions 1 to 559 of the family's 2925-position model. Lineage: Bacteria; Pseudomonadati; Pseudomonadota; Gammaproteobacteria; Enterobacterales; Enterobacteriaceae. The record is from RNAcentral.